RNAcentral lists this unclassified non-coding RNA (1711 nucleotides) under Hevea brasiliensis (rubber tree). The record is from RNAcentral. Lineage: Eukaryota; Viridiplantae; Streptophyta; Magnoliopsida; Malpighiales; Euphorbiaceae.
UGUGUGUGUGUGUGUGUGUGUGGUAAUGAUAUUGCCAGAGCAGUUGUUAAAACCACAGCAACAACCAUUUUCAAGAUUCAGAUUGACAUAAUUGCCAAUUAUACUCCUCAAAGAAACGAUUGAGUGAAUUGAAUUAGAUUUUCUGGGAUAACUAGGAUUCAUUCUUGGCAUAUUUUGUGAGAAAUCUUGUAAUGAAGUCUCUAGUAUCAUUGUCUUUGGCUCCAUACUGAUUAUGGAGUCAAAUGUUUUAGUUCUAGAUUUUCAUGAAUGAUCGGAUAAGCGAAUGCCAAUAGAUUGAUUAUGGUAACUGAUUGUUGGAUUAGCAAGAUGAUAGCUUGAGGGACAGAUUGAAACGGAGGAAAAGGAGAUAAAGAGUAAGUAGAAGACUAGAAAUUUGAAUUUAUUUUGUUCCUGUUGAUUAAGAAAAACAAGAAAACAGAGAAAGAAUGGAGUAGGGAUUACGGCAUAUGAAUUGAAAAAAGACAAAUGACAACACGAAAGUUGUAAGAAUGACCAAAAAUUCAAUCAAUUUAUCAUGCUUUGGAGAGUUGUUAAUGAACUUGGCAUAUUCUGUUUACCCACUUUUAUUAAAACAUGCACUGAACUGGUUAUAGUAUACUGGUUGCGUAUAAUUUUGUUUCUUUUUGGAGCUUGACUUGAAAACAAACAAUUUGCAGUGCUACCCAGCAUUGGCUUGAGCCAAAGAAGGCUUAGCUGAUUUGCAUCUCUAUGUACAUUUUGUAUAAUCGUGUUUAUGAGGGGAAGCACAAAUAAAAUAAGGCAAAACAAAACAAAAUAAAUGCUGAAGCAAACAAAUUAUAAAAGAAACUUUAAAGAUGAAAUGGUUUUGUUUUCCACUCUACAUGCCCCUUGCUUUUACCAACCUGCUCACACCUGGAAGGAUGGUGUGAAUGGAUUGUUAAAAAAAAAAAGAGGAAAAUGAGAAAGACUGCUGAAGAGAAGGAAAAAGAAAAGGAUUGGCAAUAUAAGUUUGAACCAUAGCCAUGGAUGUGUCUGGCAUGAUGGAAGCUUUUGAAACAAUGUUGAUGAAGUUGAGGCCAUAUGAAGACAAAAGUGCCAAUAUUAUGUUAAUUACCUGUUAACUAUAAAAUUGAAAGGGUUAGCAUACAUGAGAAAAAACAUAAUAAUCUAUCUGUGCAUUAUAAGGACUUAUCUCCAUUAAGGUCUUUGUGACCAAAAGACAUUAACAUGAAGUUACCUGGAACAUGACUGGGACUGUUGGAUUAAGCAUCUUUAAAAAAUUUUAUAUGCCUUUCUCCUAGUGAAAUGCUGGUGGGAUUACUUAAUUUACUUAAUUAAAAUUAAGGGUUAGCAUAUUUAAUUUACUUAAAUUUUUAUUUCGAAGAUUUACUUUAUUUAAAUUGUUAAAGUUUGUGGUUGAUAAUAGAUAUAUGAAAGUAACUCGUCAGUGGCAUUAUGUAAUUGGUGACUUCGUUUUCUGUCUUUUAUGGUUUUUAACUUGCUUGUGGCAUCUAGUUGGUGCUCAUUAUUUUUCAUAUGGUUGCAUUUAUGGAUCCUGCGCUGUGAAUAAAUAUCUUGUCUGUCUUAGGUGUUUUAUCUUUCUUCACAUUCUUGUCUGCUUGUUGCAGCGAAAAUUGCUGGAUGAGAAAAUUAAACUCAAGGAGGAAGAGGAACAGUUUAAGGUUGAGUUGAAAGCCAUGCGUGAAGCUGCACAGUGGAGAAGAUCACA